Molecule: ribosomal RNA, 244 nt
Filed under: uncultured bacterium
Lineage: Bacteria
Description: partial 16S ribosomal RNA
Rfam family: Bacterial small subunit ribosomal RNA
Source: RNAcentral
CGGACCGGCGCACGGGUGAGUAACGCGUAUGCAACUUACCUAUCAGAGGGGGAUAACCCGGCGAAAGUCGGACUAAUACCGCAUGAAGCAGGGGCCCCGCAUGGGGAUAUUUGCUAAAGAUUCAUCGCUGAUAGAUAGGCAUGCGUUCCAUUAGGCAGUUGGCGGGGUAACGGCCCACCAAACCGACGAUGGAUAGGGGUUCUGAGAGGAAGGUCCCCCACAUUGGAACUGAGACACGGUCCAA